GUACACUCCUGCGGGAGGCAGCAGUGGGGAAUAUUGGACAAUGGGCGCAAGCCUGAUCCAGCCAUGCCGCGUGAGUGAUGAAGGCCCUAGGGUUGUAAAGCUCUUUCACCGGUGAAGAUAAUGACGGUAACCGGAGAAGAAGCCCCGGCUAACUUCGUGCCAGCAGCCGCGGUAAUACGAAGGGGGCUAGCGUUGUUCGGAUUUACUGGGCGUAAAGCGCACGUAGGCGGACUAUUAAGUCAGGGGUGAAAUCCCGGGGCUCAACCCCGGAACUGCCUUUGAUACUGGUAGUCUUGAGUUCGAGGGAGGUGGGUGGAAUUCCGAGUGUAGAGGUGAAAUUCGUAGAUAUUCGGUGGAACACCAGUGGCGAAGGCGGCUCACUGGCUCGAUACUGACGCUGAGGUGCGAAAGCGUGGGGAGCGAACAGGAUUAGAAACCCCAGUAGUCCCAUG
RNAcentral lists this ribosomal RNA (452 nucleotides) under uncultured organism. Its description in RNAcentral is "partial 16S ribosomal RNA". It matches the Rfam family "Bacterial small subunit ribosomal RNA", at positions 331 to 799 of the family's 1533-position model. The record is from RNAcentral.